GUGAUGGGUGUCUGUCAAGGGCCCCGUUCUUUGUUUGCGUGGUGCUGGAGUUGCGAUUUUUUCUCCAUUUUCGUUUGAGUUUGUUGUGGCACCUCAUUUGCACGCGACGUCCUGCAAAAGACUUAAAAAUGUGCACAAGAGUUAAUCGAGAUCUAUACAGGCUAGAUGUAGUCCACUAUCUUCAGUCCACUUUACCUAACAUAUAGCUUCGUUCGUUGGUCGUAGGUUUAGGAAAGUAUAUUGAGGUAUAGCACAUAUAGAGAUAUAGCAGAAGUAUGAGAGAUGAAAAACGAGGUAUAUGGAAGUGUAAGAAAUAUAUAAGUAGUUAUAAAAGAGGUAUAGAGGUAUGCGUAGGUAUGGAGGAUGUAUAAUGCAAGUAUAAGGAAAGGCAUAUGAAAACAUAUGUAUGCACAACAGAGAAAUGUGGAGGUAUAGAGGAGGUAUAUGAAGGUUCCACCGAGAUUUGAACUCGGAUCGCUGGAUUCAAAGUCCAGAGUGCUAACCAUUACACCAUGGAACCAGUUAUGCAACAACAUUUGGGAUAUGCUAUAAACAUCGAUCGAUUGAUUACUUUUAAAAUUUUAGUGUUCAAAUUUAUUUUGAAAAGUAUUUUUUAAAAAAAAUAAUAUUUUGUGUCCGUAAUUUACUCGCACAUCUAUUAAUCAACAAAUGAAAGUAUUGUAUAUUUACUUCAAAGCAUAAAUGAGAACUAAAUAUUUAACGGCCAUAUGGGGAAUGUGCAUCCAAACAAAUUUCAAUAAAAUGCAAUCCUUACAACACAAAAUUUUAAAGAUAUUAUAUAAUUAUGAUAGGCUAACAAUGCAAAUAUCUUGUAUAGAGAAUUACUUACGAAUGCAUAAAUUCAAAGAAAUACUUCAAAUUGAGCAGUGUAAAAUUAUAUGUAAUAUUAUGAAUGAACACAAAAAAUACAUAUUUAAUAAUUACUAAUCAGGUUUAUAACUAUGAAACUAGAAUAAUAAAUGCUAUAUACCAAAUUAAUAUCAGAACCAACAUUU
This is a long non-coding RNA of Cylas formicarius (sweet potato weevil), 1016 nucleotides long. RefSeq lists it as uncharacterized. Lineage: Eukaryota; Metazoa; Arthropoda; Insecta; Coleoptera; Brentidae. The record is from RefSeq and is a predicted model, not a curated record. The transcript is spliced from 3 exons.